RNAcentral lists this ribosomal RNA (405 nucleotides) under uncultured Bdellovibrio sp. Its description in RNAcentral is "bacterial SSU rRNA". It matches the Rfam family "Bacterial small subunit ribosomal RNA", at positions 353 to 772 of the family's 1533-position model. Lineage: Bacteria; Pseudomonadati; Bdellovibrionota; Bdellovibrionia; Bdellovibrionales; Pseudobdellovibrionaceae. The record is from RNAcentral.
AGUAGGGAAUAUUGCACAAUGGAGGAAACUCUGAUGCAGCGACGCCGCGUGAGUGACGAAGGCCUUCGGGUUGUAAAGCUCUGUUCUCAGGGAAAAAGAAAGUGAUUGUACCUGAGAAGAAAGGACCGGCUAACUUCGUGCCAGCAGCCGCGGUAAGACGAGGGGUCCAAGCGUUGUUCGGAAUCAUUGGGCGUAAAGCGGGUGUAGGUGGCUCUAUAAGUCAGGAGUGAAAGCCCCGAGCUUAACUCGGGAAGUGCUUUUGAUACUGUAGAGCUUGAGUGUGGGAGAGGAUCGUGGAAUUCCAGGUGUAGUGGUGAAAUACGUAGAUAUCUGGAGGAACACCGGUGGCGAAGGCGGCGAUCUGGCCCAACACUGACACUGAGACCCGAAAGCAUGGGGAUCAAA